RNAcentral lists this long non-coding RNA (371 nucleotides) under Selaginella moellendorffii. Its description in RNAcentral is "long non-coding RNA (SMOE_LNC001460)". Lineage: Eukaryota; Viridiplantae; Streptophyta; Lycopodiopsida; Selaginellales; Selaginellaceae. The record is from RNAcentral.
GCUUCUGUGCAACAACUGCUACAGGCCCGGGCACUUGGCCGCCGAGUGCCCCAACGAAAAGGCAUGCAACAACUGCCGCCAGUCGGGCCACCUGGCGCGCGACUGCUCCAACACUCCCGUCUGCAACAGCUGCAGCCAGCCGGGCCACAUUGCCCGUGAGUGCCCCUACUCCUCCAUGCCGCCGCCAUCCUCCCGCGCCCUGGGAGCCUACUCCGAUAUCUUUUGUCGCAACUGCAAGCAACCGGGCCACAUGAGCAAGGACUGCAGGCAGGUGGUGGUAUGCCACAACUGCGGCGGCCGGGGUCACAUCGCCGUCGACUGCCCUUCCGACCCCAUGCUGGCGCGAGGAAUCAUGAGCAGGAGGCGCUGAU